GCAUGUAACACUUAAUUGUUUUGAUUCCACAUAGUUGUAAUGCUGAUACUUUUGAAAAAAUGUUUAAAGUAUGGAGCAUUAAAUGCGUGAAUCUUAAAAAAACUAAACACUUUCUUUUGAUCUUUCAAACGUAAAGGCUGGAGUGGUCGACAACCGAUGUUGAAGUAGUAAACCCAUGUUAUGCCAAGCAUAUGCACAGGCUUGUGGGUAACUAUUUUAGGUCGGUCAUAUCGGCUCCGAUCGAC
RNAcentral lists this long non-coding RNA (245 nucleotides) under Lathyrus oleraceus (garden pea). RNAcentral's name for it is "Pisum sativum (pea) long non-coding RNA (PSAT_LNC025812)". Lineage: Eukaryota; Viridiplantae; Streptophyta; Magnoliopsida; Fabales; Fabaceae. The record is from RNAcentral.